Molecule: ribosomal RNA, 239 nt
Filed under: uncultured bacterium
Lineage: Bacteria
Description: partial 16S ribosomal RNA
Rfam family: Bacterial small subunit ribosomal RNA
Source: RNAcentral
AAUCAACGCUGGCGGCGUGCCUCAGACAUGCAAGUCGAACGAUUAAACUUUCCUUCGGGAAAGAUAUAAAGUGGCGUACGGGUGAGUAACACGUAAGUAAUCUACCUUUGAGUGGGGAAGUAACAGUCGGAACGACUGCUAAUACCGCAUAAUGCAGCGGCACCGCAAGGUAGACAGUUGUUAAAGACAUUUAUUGCGCUUAAAGAAGGAGCUUGCGGCAGAUUAGCUAGUUGGAAGGU